This 250-nucleotide ribosomal RNA is filed under the name uncultured bacterium. RNAcentral describes it as "partial 16S ribosomal RNA". It matches the Rfam family "Bacterial small subunit ribosomal RNA", at positions 524 to 773 of the family's 1533-position model. The record is from RNAcentral.
UACGUAGGGGGCGAGCGUUGUCCGGAUUCAUUGGGCGUAAAGCGCGCGUAGGCGGCUCGAUAAGUCGGCCGUGAAAUCUCCAGGCUCAACUUGGAGGGGUCGGGCGAGACUGUCGGGCUCGAGGUGGGCAGAGGGCAGUGGAAUUCCGGGUGUAGUGGUGGAAUGCGUAGAGAUCCGGAGGAACACCAGUGGCGAAGGCGGCUGCCUGGGCCUGGCCUGACGCUGAGGCGCGAAAGCGUGGGGAGCGAUC